CGCGUAGGCGGGAUAUUAAGUCUCUUGUCAAAGUGCGGGGCUCAACCCCGUGAUGCGGGAGAAACUAAUAUUCUUGAGUACCGGAGAGGAAAGCGGAAUUCCCAGUGUAGCGGUGAAAUGCGUAGAUAUUGGGAGGAACACCAGUGGCGAAGGCGGCUUUCUGGACGGUGUCUGACGCUGAGGCGCGAAAGCCAGGGGAGCGAACGGGAUUAGAUACCCCGGUAGUCCUGGCCGUAAACGAUGGGUACUAGGUGUAGGGGGUAUCGACCCCUCCUGUGCCGGAGUUAACGCAAUAAGUACCCCGCCUGGGGAGUACGGCCGCAAGGUUGAA
RNAcentral lists this ribosomal RNA (331 nucleotides) under uncultured bacterium. RNAcentral's name for it is "bacterial SSU rRNA". It matches the Rfam family "Bacterial small subunit ribosomal RNA", at positions 568 to 898 of the family's 1533-position model. The record is from RNAcentral.